This 494-nucleotide ribosomal RNA is filed under the name uncultured bacterium. RNAcentral's name for it is "partial 16S ribosomal RNA". It matches the Rfam family "Bacterial small subunit ribosomal RNA", at positions 28 to 507 of the family's 1533-position model. The record is from RNAcentral.
GACGAACGCUGGCGGCGUGCUUAACACAUGCAAGUCGAACGGAAAGGCCUGCUUUCCCUUGUGGAUUGCGGGUACUCGAGUGGCGAACGGGUGAGUAACACGUGAGUGAUCUGCCCCCAACUUGGGUAUAAGCCUGGGAAACUGGGUCUAAUUCCCGAUAGGACUGCAGGGUGGUGCCUGUGGUGGAAAACGAUUUUCUAGUGGUUGGGGAUGAGCUCGCGGCCUAUCAGCUUGUUGGUGGGGUAAUGGCCUACCAAGGCGGCGACGGGUAGCCGGCCUGGGAGGGUGGACGGCCACAUUGGGACUGAGAUACGGCCCAGACUCCUACGGGAGGCAGCAGUGGGGAAUAUUGCACAAUGGGCGGAAGCCUUAUGCAGCGACGCCGCGUGGGGGAUGACGGCCUUCGGGUUGUAAACUCCUUUCGACCGCGAGGAAGCCACCUGGUUGGAAGGGUGGUGACGGUAGUGGUAGAAGAAGCACCGGCUAACUACGUG